Molecule: non-coding RNA, 2091 nt
Organism: Loxodonta africana (African savanna elephant)
Lineage: Eukaryota; Metazoa; Chordata; Mammalia; Proboscidea; Elephantidae
Source: the annotation of a RefSeq genome assembly
UUUGUUUGUUUAACCUUCCUCUUGUCCCUGGGUAGUGCAAAUGGCUAACGUGGCUCCUAACUGAAAGGUUAGAGGCUGGAGUCUAUCCAGAGGCACCUCAGAAAAAAGGGCUAGUGAUGCUACUUCUGACAAAAAUCAGUCAUUAAAACCCUUAUGGAGCACAGUUCUACUCUAACACACGUGGAGUUGCCAUGAGUUGGAAUCAACUUGAUGGCAACUGUUCUGUUUGUUUGUUUUGUUGUUUUUUUAUAACUUCCUCUCAAUUGGCUUUACUUAACUGGCCCACAGUACUGGUCCUGACGCCGCAUUUUCAUCCCUAUCAGACAACAGGCACUGGAAACCUUCUGUGAGUGACAAGACCCUUCUCGGGGAAUAGAAACAGCUGUUGACUGGGGCUGGUUUCCUGAGGCACAAGUGUGUCACGGAGAACGUGUUGAUUCACAGCAGGGACAGCCAGGGGCAAGUUGGGAGGCAGAGCUGUCCCUGAGAGGAGUCAUGCAGAGAAUCUCCUGCUUCAUCCAUCUCGGCAUCUUCUGGGCAGGCGUCAUGUCAGCCAUUGUGUUGGUGCCUGGAGACCAGGUAGUGACUGUGUCUGUGGGAGGAUCUACCACCCUCAGGUGUACCAUGGAAGGAGGAACGAUCAGUAACUACUACACAAACUGGUACAGGAAGACCCAGGGUGACAUACUGACUUUCAUAUAUGGAGAAGGAAGUGGCUAUGGCUCUAAUUUCCAAGACAGGUUCCAAGCUAAAACUGAUAAUUCAAACAACCAGGCUGUACUUAAGAUUCUUAAGGCAUCAAUGAGCGAUGAAGGAUUUUACUACUGUGCCAUCGAUGACCACCCUGCUGCAAUGUUCUUUGGAGCUGGCACCAAACUCUUUGUGGAGCCCCAAAUUCAGCCUAAUACCAGACCAUCUGUUUUCGUAAUGAAAAAUGGGACAAAGGUUGCUUGUCUGGUGAAGGAUUUCUAUCCCAAGACCAUAAAUAUAAACCUGAACUCACUCAAGAAGAUAACUGAAUUUGACCCUGCCAUCGUCGUCACUCCCAGUGGCAAGUACAGUGCAGUCAAGCUUGGUCAGUAUGAAGACUCAGAUUCAGUGACGUGUUCAGUUCAACACAACAAUGAAAUCUUGAACUCCACCAACCCUGAGUUGAAGGAAAGUCAUUCAGAACCAACGAAACCUGGAAACGAAGAACAAACUUCAGAAAGCUGCCAUGAACCCAAAGUUCAUGCCUGGAAGAUGAACAUGAUGUCUCUCACACUGCUGGGACUAAGAGUGGUGCUUGCCAAGAGUAUUGCCAUCAAUGUUCUCUUGACUGCCAAGUUAUUUUUCUUUUAAGACUAACUGGGAUGAGGAAGCUACAUGCCCUGAAAUAAACCAAAAGCCUACAAGGAUGCUAUCUCCUAGGUUCCGACUUCUCAGUGAUUCAAGUUGACUGUCACAGCCUAGCUGAAAUGGCUACCACCCAAACCAGUUUUCCUUUGAAAGCAACAAAUCCAGCUCAUCCUUCAGCCUGGUAGAAGGACAAAAGUCCUGGGGAAAGGGAAUUUAUGGUCCUAAGUGCGUCAAUCUUGCUCUUACAUAUAUAUAUCCCCUUUAUGGGAUAUAGGACUGAUUUUUUACUCCUACACCUGAAACACUUUGAAAGUGGCAUUCAAUGAGAUUUCUAAAACCUCAUCUAAAUACUCUCCAAGCUAUUAGCAGAGAUCAGAGUAGAAUACAGAAGAAAGAAUUCCUUUUUAUUAAUUGACUUAACGAACAUGAAUCGACUCACUCUAAGUUCCGGACACUGUGCUCUGGGUGCACAGAUGAACAAGACUUGGGUCUUGCCUUUAAUUUAACCAAUGCAAUGUGCAAGUGUUUUUGCAGGGAGGGAUAGAAAUGAAGCUCCCUAGGUUCCCCCUGUAAAAACAAUAUCUUUGCUGUCUUUUGUCUGCCAGUCUGUCCAGGGAAUUUGAGCUCACUGGAUGCUGGCUCUUUUGCCUGGGUCUUUGGUGUUGACGGUUUUAUGCUGUUCAUUUUAGACCCUGUCUCUGCUGCAUUUAUUAAACUGCACUGUGUACGCUCGCCUCUGGCUUGAUUCAUUGC